GCCAAGAUGGCGGCUUGAACAGACGCUUUUUUACCGAGCUCCAUAACAAACUUCAGAAAGAAAACAAAAAAAAACAAGUUUACAGUCAUUACUAUUUUUAUUUGUUCAAGAUAUAACACCUUUCCUGUGACUGGAAUGAUAAUGGGGUCAUUUAUUUCGGCAUGUCCAUGCAAAGUCAUGACAAAAAAGAAAGGAAGAAGUUAGCCGUUCUAUUGCUAAUCAACAAGAGAGAAACGUGUUUAUAGACAACUGCCAUAACUACGCUUGGCCUAUGGAUAAUAUCAUGCUUUCGAAUGCUGUUGAAGAUGACGAUGACGAAUUCUCCUCUUUACCGGUUACUCCGUGCAAACCUCCACCCUCCAAAAACCCCAACAUGAACUCUGACAUCGUGGCUACCCUCUCCUUACUCAUCAACUCUAGGUGUUACGCCAUUGAGAAAAUGGAGAGAGAAGUGACUACCGUGGGUCCUCUGGGGAGCCUCAACAACCUCAUGACGAUGACAAGGCAGAGAAGAGUCUCUCCACAUCAGAACACCUUAAGAAACACCUGCAGAGAGCCACAGGGAAGAAACCUCGCUGCUGCUCUGAUGGUGGGAAGAGGUUCACCUCCUCAGGAGGCAUUAAAAUUCAUCUGAGAAUCCACACAGUAGAGAAACCUUAUAGCUGUACUCAAUGUGGAAAUAGUUUUUCUCAUUCAACCAGCCUGACAUCACACCAAAGAACACACACAGGAAUGUUAUCUUAUAUGUGUAGCUGUGGUCAAUGUGGGAAGAGUUAUACUCGGGUAAGCAGCCUGAUAUCACACACAGGAGAGAAACGAGAGAAACCGUAUAGCUGUGAUGAAUGUGGGAAGAGUUUUUACAUCUAGGCAUCUUAUUGUACACCAAAGAACACACACAGGAGAGAAAUCGUAAAGCUGUACUCAGUGUGGGAAGAGUUUUUUAAAACAUUUAACCAUCUGAAGAUACACCAGAGAACACACACAGGAGAGAAACCUUUUAGCUGUACUCAAUGUGGUAAGAGUUUUACUCAGCUAACCAGCCUGAUAUCACACCAGAGAACACACACAGGAGAGAAAUCUUAUAGCUGUACUCAAUGUGGGAAGAGUUUUGUUCAAUCUGGCAAUCUGACAGUACACCAGAGAACACACACAGGAGAUAAAUAUUAUAUGUGGUCAAUGUGGGAAGAGUUUUGUUACAUCUGGCCAUCUGAAGAUACACCAGAGAACACACACAGGAGAGAAAUCUUAUAGCUGUAAUCAAUGUGACAAGAGAUACUCUGAUAAAAGAUCUCUGAUCAAACAUCAGAAAAUACAUGAAGGAGUUGUUUCAUGAUAUCAAUGAAUUAGUAGGAGUAUUUGAAUAAUGUCACAAAUGUAGAAGCCUAAACGUUUGCCCCCUGUUCUAUUGAUUUCAACAUGAUUUGAAUAUUAGCCUCAGGGGGGAGAUCCAGGCUCUGAAUUGGAAGAGUACUAUUUAUGUGAUUUAACAAAAAGUGACUAACACAAAAAGAGCUGUGUUACACUUACCACAUUGGUGACCCACUUGAAUCAAAAUGCAACACUUCAAAAUGUAGCGAGCUGUUUUCUACAAGUUGUCCUCUAACCAGGGAUAUACACAUUACGUGUGGUUUUUGACAGGACGUGCAACCUCAUCUCUCUCCUCUCGCACAAAUGAUUUCAACAUGAUUUUGAUGAGUUAUGACAAAAAAGUGUUGCGUUCCUUUUUUUUAGCGACCCCUACAUUUAAAUGCAUCACUCCAAAAUGUAGCUGACUGUCUUCUGCAGGUUGUCCUCUAAUCAGUGAGGUAAAAGAUAUCUCCCAUUUCCAUGUGUUUUUUUAGAUGUUAGUUUCAACAGCAAGUACAACGUGAUCUCCCCCUAAUCGAUAUCAAAACAACAGGGUUUUUGGUGCUUGUGUCCAUGGUGAGGACAACUUGGUUUCUGAUUGUCUCAAGGUUUGGCAGUCAAAAAGAUUUGUGUUUUGCCAGUGCAUUCCAUGGAUCACAAAUUAUUUUGAAUUUCCGUAUUAAAGAUGAGUUAUGUUUGGGCUUGUUCCAAGGGGACGAGAGUUCUAGAAGCUAGUGGGUUUUAGGAAGGAGAGGAAGGUCUUCAGAGGAGAGGAAGGCUGAGGAGGGAUGGAAGGAUGAAUUUGUCAGUCAGUCAAUAAAGUGUAGAGCUGCUGUCUAUGCAAUGGA
Molecule: long non-coding RNA, 2195 nt
Organism: Oncorhynchus nerka (sockeye salmon)
Lineage: Eukaryota; Metazoa; Chordata; Actinopteri; Salmoniformes; Salmonidae
Exons: 2
Source: RefSeq, a predicted model, not a curated record